Oryzias melastigma (Indian medaka) is the source of this 2882-nucleotide long non-coding RNA. RefSeq lists it as uncharacterized. NCBI's taxonomy places the organism in Eukaryota, Metazoa, Chordata, Actinopteri, Beloniformes, Adrianichthyidae. The transcript is spliced from 2 exons. The record is from RefSeq and is a predicted model, not a curated record.
AGUUGGAGACACUUCUGCUGUAACUUUGUGAUAAAAACCAAAAAUGUGAAAAUGAUACUUGACUGUGUCAGUCAUGCGUGGCCGUGUGCAUCCAAAUGUUUGAAAAUACUCAAAACCUAAACCUGAGAAUCUGCAGUUCAAGAGCCAACAUCGUUUGAAAGAAUUUUUUUAUGCUAAUUUGUGGGAAUUUUGGUGGAUUUGUUUUGAUACUAAUUAAAGUUAAAAUUGAAACAUGAUUAGGGGCAUGCUUAAUUGGCAGGUUGCUUGACUUAAUAAAAUCCUCUUUUAUUUUUAUCCCCCAUUUAAUUUUUUUAAAUGACAGAGUUGCAAAACUUUAGUCUGUAUUUCUGCUCCUUCAGGCAUAAUUUUUGGCUUUUAGAGUUCUCUGGGUUACGUCACAAAUUAUUGGUGAUGACAUACAAGUCUAUGGGUGAAACCAACAACAGAAUACGGAAAAAUGUGCAGAGAAUAAAUAAAAAUAGUAAAAUGAAGUCAUCAGAAUUGAAGAAACAGAGCCUGACAGCACAUAAAUGUUGCAUGGACACAGCUGUUCCACCAUUUAAAACCCAAUGUAGAAUAUUUAGUGGCUUCUGUGGUGUUCUAAAACCAGAAGUUUGAUUUGGUUACAUGGUUAAAAAUGCUGUUUAGGAGCAAAUAGAUGCAAAGCUCCUUAAGGAAAGUUCAAAUAAAGUUCUCUUUAUUUUAGCUAACACCCACAGCUCUCUUGAUCUAGAAUCUUCUCCUAAACUUUACAAUUGUGGAUAUAAUACUUGGGUUAAACAUUUAUGUAGUAGAGUGGUAAAUGGCUAGCCAAUCCCAUCUGUGUCUGAAAUACUUAACAUUUGCAAAUCUAUUAGUUACAGUAAUAAUGUAUUUUAAUUAUUUUCCUUCUGUGACUAUUAGAUAUUUUGUAAAAAGUGUUACUUUAAAUGUUGUGUUUAACCAGUAGAGGGCAGUGUCGCGGACGUUAUCGCUGGACAUUUUAUUUUGAAAAGACGCAAAGCAGUCGUUUUCCUGUUCGUCUUCCUGUCUUGAUGUCUGCCCCGCGGUUGUUUCAUCUGCAUGAUAAACAAAAUAUCCACGAAGUUUUAAGAGGACGGAAAUGUGCGUCGUGGUAGUGAGAAAGCCGUAAAAGACGCGCGUAUCUUGUGAGAAAACGGCGCCAUUUCCAGCGUUCCUGGGUGUAAAACAGCUGAAAACUGAGUUUUGUUUGAUUAUUUAUUUGUAACUUUUCCAACGACUUGUAAGUAAUUUUAUUUAUUUAUUGUGUUCAUUCUCUGUGGUCAGAGUCCACUGCCGUAUUUUUAUGUUACUUUCUUUAACAUUUUUUGUUUGGUAAAAUCAUUUGCCACAGGACCAACCAGUUGUCAAAGAAAUUCUGAGAUUUUGUUUUACUUGAAGCAAGUCUGUGAACAUUUUUGAGUGUGAUUUAAAAAUAAUAAAUUGCUGUAAAAAAAAAACCCCGGUGAUUGUGUCCUGUGAGGCAACAUCAUUUCUCCAGGCUACAUUUAAUUGGAAAUAAAAUUUCGAUUUUUUUUUUUAGUGGGUGCAGACAAUAUUUCAAUACUUAAAAGACACACUUUUGUGUUGGCUACUUUCUAAAUUCUUUUUAACACUUUAUUUUGGAAAAAUAUAUUUUUCUCUGCAAAAACCUUAGCUCAGAUAAAAGGGAAAAAAAAACAUCCAACUGACACAUUUGCUGUACAACAUGUAAUGAAUGCAUUUUAGUGACCUAAACCCUAUUGUAAAUGCUGAUUACAUUAAACUCUUAUCUAAUGCAUAACCAUCAUUAUGGUGUUAUUAUUAGCAUGCAAAUAAUCACGAUAGCUAUUGAAAGAUAUUGGCAAUUUAAAAAAAUGCUUUUGCAUACUUGACUGGAGACAUCAGUGGAAUGUGCAUUUGCGAUUUAAAGAUCAUUUUCAAAGCUUCUGUUUAUUGGUAAUAAAAAUAACACUUUUUAAAGCUACACUUAGGCUAUGUCCGAAUUCCCUUCCUGCACCCCAACUACUAAAAAACAGUGCGGGACGAUCAAGUGCUCUGGAUUUUAACAACUCUUUUUAUUAAACUGCAAACAUGGCGUCACUAAUUUCACGAAAUAAAAACCUAAUAAAUGUGAACAUUUCACAAAGACUAUUUUUGAAUCCACUAAUUAUUAGGAUGAAAACUUGAUAAACUAAAAUUCAAAAGAAAAAUACUUCAAAUACAUUGUGAUCUAUAUUCACCAAUCUAGUGACCAUUGAUGCACUUUAGUUUUUCGCAGAGACUUCUGGGAAAUUUCUAGGGCACAGCUCUACAUAAUGGAGAACGCACUACACAGUGCACAAAUGAAUGAGUACACAACCUUAGUCCAAAAACAUGUUACAUUCAAGUGGUUUGGAAUUGACUCACCUCAAAGGUUAAAUAAAACCUUACAAGAAAAGUGAUUAACUGUCCAUGAUCAUCGUUUUAACCAUUUUCUAUAAACUUAUGAAACAAUGUGAGUGUCCUUAAUUCUGUAUUUUAAGAGUUACAGGCUUUUGAGGGUUAAUGAGGUAUUUAAAAGUUCAAAGUUUUUAAUUAGGGCUCAGAGAUAAAAUCAAACCCAAGCAGGAACUUGAACAUGUAUGUCCACACGCUCGGGACACGUUGUUCCUCUGACACAAGGAAAGGCAGCGCCGCUUGGGGGAGGGAGUGAGGUGGUGGUAAAGACGACACGCUCCUGCUGCCUGGCAACGCCUCCUCACUGGAGGACGAAAAGUGCUUUAUUGUUUUUCUGCCAUUCACAGCAGCCGUCUCAAGGUUCCUCGCAUUUCAGAGAGAACAGGGACACUCUUCCUCUCUGUGUUCAUGUUUGCUUUGGGUUGAAAUCAUUUCAUUACAAAAAUGAAAUGAAAAAAAAAAAA